CGGACGGGUGAGUGGCGGACGGCUGAGUAAGACGUGGGUGACCUUUCCUCGGGUGGGGGACAACUCCGCGAAAGCGGGGCUAAUACCGCGUACGUCCCAGGGGGUAAAGUCUUUGGGAGAAAGCAGGAAUGCGCGCGAGGGCGGGCCCACGGCCCAUCAGGUAGUUGGGGGGGUAAUGGCCUCCCAAGCCAAUGACGGGUAGCUGGUCUGAGAGGAUGACCAGCCAGACUGGGACUGCGACACGGCCCAG
RNAcentral lists this ribosomal RNA (250 nucleotides) under uncultured bacterium. Its description in RNAcentral is "partial 16S ribosomal RNA". It matches the Rfam family "Bacterial small subunit ribosomal RNA", at positions 84 to 334 of the family's 1533-position model. The record is from RNAcentral.